GGCCACCGACGGGAAUGAGAGUUCGAUCCCCAGAACGGCCUGGUAGUAGACGUAGGUUACGUUGCCGAGGAUGGCCAUCACAAUGCCGGAUGCGAACAAGUACCAGGGCAGCGGCCGGUUCGGGCGGUGCAUGAGGAUGCCGGUCACGAACGCCCCUAGCGUGCAUAUGG
Molecule: unclassified non-coding RNA, 170 nt
Filed under: plant metagenome
Description: partial contains 5.8S ribosomal RNA, internal transcribed spacer 2, and large subunit ribosomal RNA
Source: RNAcentral